RNAcentral lists this ribosomal RNA (479 nucleotides) under uncultured bacterium. Its description in RNAcentral is "SSU rRNA". It matches the Rfam family "Bacterial small subunit ribosomal RNA", at positions 26 to 518 of the family's 1533-position model. The record is from RNAcentral.
AGCCUGAACGCUGGCGGCGUGGCUAAGACAUGCAAGUCGUACGGAGGUAGCAAUACCUCAGUGGCGAACGGGUGAGUAAUGAAUCGCUAACGUGCCCUGGACUUCGGGAUAGCUAUCCGAAAGGGUAGGUAAUACCGGGUGAUAUACCCUUUCCGCAUGGAAGGGGUCUCAAAGGUCCGCCGGUCUUCGGUGGAUGGUCUGGGAGCGGGCGAUUUCGUAUCAGCUAGUUGGUGGGGUAACGGCCCACCAAGGCGACGACGCGUAGCCGGACUGAGAGGUUGGCCGGCCACAUUGGGACUGAGACACUGCCCAGACUCCUACGGGGGGCUGCAGUAACGAAUCUUCCGCAAUGCACGAAAGUGUGACGGAGCGACGCCGCGUGGAGGACGAAGUUCUUCGGAAUGUAAACUCCUGUCAGGGGAAAGAAAGUUCUGAUCUACCCCAGAGGAAGAGGCGGCUAACUCUGUGCCAGCAGCCGC